GUUUGAUCAUGGCUCAGAUUGAACGCUGGCGGGAUGCUUUACACAUGCAAGUCGAACGGCGGCACGGACUUCGGUCUAGUGGCGAGUAGCGAACAGGUGAGUAAUGUAUGGGACGUGCCUAGUAGCGGGGAUAACUACCGCAAAGCGUAGCUAAUACCACAUACGCCCUUCGGGGGAAAGCGGAGGACCUUCGGGCCUCGCACUAUUAGAGCGGCCGAUAUCGGAUUAGCUAGUUGGUGGGAGGUAACGGCUCACCAAGGCGACGAUCCGUAGCUGGUUUGAGGAGGACGACCAGCCACUGGGACAGAGACGGCGCGGCCCAGACUCCUGCGGGAGGCAGCAGUGGGGAAUUUUGGACAAUGGAGGAAACCCCUGAUCCAGCCAACCCGCGUGUGCGAUGAGGCCUUCCGGGUUGUAAAACACUUUUGGCAGGAAAGAAACAUGCGGGAUAAUACCCCGUGCAACUGACGGUACCUGCAGAAUAAGCAUAAGCUAACUACGUGCCAGCAGCCGCGGUAAUACGUAGGGUGCAAGCGUUAAUCAGAUUACUGGGCGUAAAGCGUGCCGCAGGCGGUUCGGAGAAAGAUCAUGAAAUCCGACGCUUUGGAACUGCAUUUUAACUGCGAGCUAGAGUGUGUCAGAGGUGGAAUUCCCGCGUGUGGCAGUGAAAUGCGUAGAUAUGCGGAGAACACCGAUGGCGAAGCCUCCUGGGGGAUAACACUGACGCUCAUGCACGAAAGCGUAGAGGAGCAAAACAGGAUUAGAUGCCCUGGUAGUCCGCCCUAAACGAUGUCAACUAGCUGUUGGGGCCUUCAGACCUUGGUAGCGCAACUAACGCGUGAAGUUGACCGCCUGAGAAGGCUCUGGUGUAGGAAUUAAAACUCGAGAAUUGACGGGGACCCGCACAAGCGGUGGAUGAUGUCGGAUUAAUUCAGUGCAACGCGAAAAACAACACCUACCCUUGACAUGUCUGGAAUCCCGAAGAGAUUUGGAGUGCUCGCAAGAGGAACCCGCAGACGCAGGUGCUGCAUGGCUGUCGUCGGCUCGUGUCGUGAGAUGUUGGGUUGGUCAACAGGCGCAAGCCCUUGUCAUUAGUUGCUGAAAGGGCACUCUAAUGAGACUGCCGGUGACAAACCGGAGGAAGGUGGGGAUGACGUCAAGUCCUCCCUUAACAGCCCAUAUGGGUAGAACUGCACGUCAUACAAUGGUCGGGACAGAGGGUCGCCAACCCGCGAGGGGGAGCCAAUCCCCAGAAACCCGAUCGUAGUCCGGAUCGCAGUCUGCAACUUCGACUGCGUGAAGUCGAGAUCGCUAGUAAUCGCGGAUCAGCAUGUCGCGGUGAAUACGUUCAGGUCUUGUACACACCGCCCCGUCACACCAUGGGAGUGGGUUUUGCAGAAGUAGUUAGCCUAACCGUAAAGGGCGAUUACCACGGUAGGGAUUCAUGACUGGGUGAAGUCGUAACAAAGGUAA
Molecule: ribosomal RNA, 1473 nt
Filed under: uncultured Bordetella sp.
Lineage: Bacteria; Pseudomonadati; Pseudomonadota; Betaproteobacteria; Burkholderiales; Alcaligenaceae
Description: partial 16S-23S ribosomal RNA intergenic spacer
Rfam family: Bacterial small subunit ribosomal RNA
Source: RNAcentral